This 339-nucleotide ribosomal RNA is filed under the name uncultured Streptococcus sp. RNAcentral's name for it is "bacterial SSU rRNA". It matches the Rfam family "Bacterial small subunit ribosomal RNA", at positions 1043 to 1382 of the family's 1533-position model. Lineage: Bacteria; Bacillati; Bacillota; Bacilli; Lactobacillales; Streptococcaceae. The record is from RNAcentral.
GCAUGGUUGUCGUCAGCUCGUGUCGUGAGAUGUUGGGUUAAGUCCCGCAACGAGCGCAACCCCUAUUGUUAGUUGCCAUCAUUCAGUUGGGCACUCUAGCGAGACUGCCGGUAAUAAACCGGAGGAAGGUGGGGAUGACGUCAAAUCAUCAUGCCCCUUAUGACCUGGGCUACACACGUGCUACAAUGGUUGGUACAACGAGUUGCGAGUCGGUGACGGCGAGCUAAUCUCUUAAAGCCAAUCUCAGUUCGGAUUGUAGGCUGCAACUCGCCUACAUGAAGUCGGAAUCGCUAGUAAUCGCGGAUCAGCACGCCGCGGUCGAAUACGUUCCCGGGCCUU